This 449-nucleotide ribosomal RNA is filed under the name uncultured bacterium. RNAcentral's name for it is "partial 16S ribosomal RNA". It matches the Rfam family "Bacterial small subunit ribosomal RNA", at positions 330 to 793 of the family's 1533-position model. The record is from RNAcentral.
GCCAGACUCCUACGGGAGGCAGCAGUGGGGAAUAUUGGGCAAUGGGCGCAAGCCUGACCCAGCAACGCCGCGUGAAGGAAGAAGGCUUUCGGGUUGUAAACUUCUUUUAUUCGGGACGAAGAAAGUGACGGUACCGAAUGAAUAAGCCACGGCUAACUACGUGCCAGCAGCCGCGGUAAUACGUAGGUGGCAAGCGUUAUCCGGAUUUAUUGGGUGUAAAGGGCGUGUAGGCGGGAAUGCAAGUCAGAUGUGAAAGGUGGGGGCUCAACCCCUAGAGUGCAACUGAUACUGUAUAACUUGAGUGUGAGAGAGGGAAGCGGAAUUCCUAGUGUAGCGGUGAAAUGCGUAGAUAUUAGGAGGAACACCAGUGGCGAAGGCGGCUUUCUGGCUCAUAACUGACGCUGAGGCGCGAAAGCGUGGGGGGCAAACAGGAUUAGAUACCCCCGUAC